This 275-nucleotide ribosomal RNA is filed under the name uncultured Devosia sp. RNAcentral describes it as "partial 16S ribosomal RNA". It matches the Rfam family "Bacterial small subunit ribosomal RNA", at positions 215 to 508 of the family's 1533-position model. The record is from RNAcentral. Lineage: Bacteria; Pseudomonadati; Pseudomonadota; Alphaproteobacteria; Hyphomicrobiales; Devosiaceae.
GUGGUGGAGGAUGGACUCGCGGCCUAUCAGCUUGUUGUGGGGUAAUGGCUCACCAAGGCAACGAUCUUUAGUUGGUCUGAGAGGAUGAUCAGCCACACUGGAACUGAGACACGGUCCAGACUCCUACGGGAGGCAGCAGUGGGGAAUAUUGGACAAUGGGCGUAAGCCUGAUCCAGCGACGCCGCGUGAGUGAAGAAGGCCUUCGGGUUGUAAAGUUCUUUUAGUGGGGAAGAUAAUGACGGUACCCACAGAAAAAGCCCCGGCUAACUUCGUGC